UGACAAGGAAUCACCCCUCGUAUAUUUUCGUAAUUAUUCAUUUACACCCUGUAUAUUCUGUCAAAUUUUCUGACAUAACUAAAAUGAUUUUCCACCUGACUUCCAUUCAAAAAUACCCCCGUCGUUCCCAUAACAUACGCUUUGGUUCGACGCAAAUCUCUGAAAUUCCUGUAGUGUAACCAUUGUCCGAGGAUUGUGAACCGCCAAGCGACAAUACCCGAUGAACGGUUAGCCUGAAACCUAGACUGAAUUUCAAAAGCAACUUGUCAAGUGUCAGGAAAUGAAGGGAGAUGAAAUAUAACAGUGGGAGAGAGAAAGAGAGGAAAGUCUCCGAUCAAAGGCAGAUUUCAGGUUUCCAACAACGUCGGAGACUCCCAGCUUGUACGUGAAAGCAACGGGGAAUUUUCAGCGUCGGAAAAUUCAGAACUCCACCUUGCUCGGUCCAUAUUAUUCUGGGCAAGGAAAAAUAAUUACAACUCUGCCAUAGACCCACAGAAACUACACACAACUACAUCAGAAACCAGAGAAAUAAAAACUACCGGAUGUGGCCAUGAUUCUACUUCGCAACCGAUAUCACAGAUGAUGAAAGACCGUUUGAAGUAUGAACACCAUAGAAAACCCAGAAAAUCGGUUUACUUCGGAGAUAAA
Coccinella septempunctata (seven-spotted ladybird) is the source of this 648-nucleotide long non-coding RNA. RefSeq lists it as uncharacterized. The record is from RefSeq and is a predicted model, not a curated record. The transcript has 3 exons. NCBI's taxonomy places the organism in Eukaryota, Metazoa, Arthropoda, Insecta, Coleoptera, Coccinellidae.